UACGUAGGAUCCGAGCGUUGUCCGGAAUUACUGGGUGUAAAGGGCGUGUAGGUGGGUCUCUAAGUCGGUGGUGAAAUCCUGCAGCUUAACUGUAGAAUUGCCCUCGAUACUGGAGAUCUUGAGUGCGGUAGAGGGAGAUGGAAUUCAUGGUGUAGCGGUGAAAUGUGUAGAUAUCAUGAAGAACACCAGUCGCGAAGGCGGUCUCCUGGUCCGCAACUGACACUGAGGCGCGAAAGCGUGGGGAGCAAACAGG
This 253-nucleotide ribosomal RNA is filed under the name uncultured bacterium. RNAcentral's name for it is "partial 16S ribosomal RNA". It matches the Rfam family "Bacterial small subunit ribosomal RNA", at positions 524 to 776 of the family's 1533-position model. The record is from RNAcentral.